Molecule: long non-coding RNA, 1226 nt
Filed under: Sus scrofa (pig)
Lineage: Eukaryota; Metazoa; Chordata; Mammalia; Artiodactyla; Suidae
Description: lncRNA (ENSSSCG00025025338.1, ENSSSCG00035066186.1)
Source: RNAcentral
CUACCACAAUCCAGGUAGGAGGUGACAGUGCUGCAGCCAGGCUGCACGGCGAAGGAUGGGAGGGGCCCCCGGAGAAACCUGAAUCAGCCCUUCCCGCUGAGGCGUAUUGCCCAAUGAAGUUGGAGGGGUGAAUUCGAAGCAAGACCUCAAGCAGGGGGUGAAGCGGACAUGAUGUAGAGAAGCUGCUGCUGAUGGCAAUGGGACCAGAAAAGGGGGGCCUAAGGGAGAACAUGAGAAGCAAAAAGGGCAGCCCCUUAACCUUCAACCUCAGAGGCUCGUGAGGGAGAAACCCAGUCAGGUCUGAGGGGAGAUCUCACAGCAAGGGGGUGGGUGGGACUUGACUCAGAUUGCAGUGGGGAGAAAUUUUAAUGACACCCCCUCCCUAGCAAACCAGCGAUGCAAGAUGGUGCCAGCACAAUAUGGUGCCAGUCAGGAGGUGGUUUGGAAUGGCUGAGGAAGGGAGUCUGGGAAGUGGCUUCAUGCAACGCUGCUCGUUCUAGUGAGAAUGCAGCCAGGUAGUCCUAGGUCCCAGGGGCCGCAGAGCCAAGAUCUGCCUCACCAGCUAUGUGCAGGGACCAUGCACUUUGGCUUCACCUCUUCCUGCCCCUACCCCACCAGCAAGCCCCAGGGACCAGAACCAUCUCUGUCCUGCGUGUGUGUGUGUGUGUGUGUGUGUGUGUGUGUGUGUAAGAAUGCAGGGGACUCCACUCAGACCUUCAACCCUCUUGUCCCACCACCGUGAGGCCCAUGAACAUCUCUCUGCACCAGGAAAUUAUCUUGGCUGGGAGAAGGCGGAAGGGUGAGAAAACCUUGGAAUACUGAGCAAUUUUACUCAAAAGAGACUGAGUUAAUCAUACAGAAAUGGAGCUAUGUCUAAGGGGCAAUUUAAUGGUUUCUUUUUGUUUGUUUUCUUUUUGCCCGUCAGUAGUAGGAAUUAUCAGAUCACGAUGAGAAGAGUAUAAGAAAAAGUAAGAACAAUACUGAUUUGACCCAUCUGGGUAGGUGUGUGUGUGUGAUCUUUAGCCCUCCCACAAUUAUGUCUGUACACGUUUGCUGGGGCAACUGUAUAUUUUCAAUUCCAAUCGUCAGACCUUUCCUUGAAGCUCACGUGUGUUUUGAUCUGGCCAGGAAUUGAGAAUCAUAAAAUCAUUAAAUCUGUAUUAAUUACCUAUUGCUGCAUAGUAAGUUAAUCCAAAAUUUAGCUGAAAUAAAUAUGUAUUAUCUCA